RNAcentral lists this ribosomal RNA (1522 nucleotides) under Salmonella enterica subsp. enterica. RNAcentral's name for it is "partial 23S ribosomal RNA". It matches the Rfam family "Bacterial large subunit ribosomal RNA", at positions 1297 to 2802 of the family's 2925-position model. The record is from RNAcentral. Lineage: Bacteria; Pseudomonadati; Pseudomonadota; Gammaproteobacteria; Enterobacterales; Enterobacteriaceae.
CUGACAUAAGUAACGAUAAAGCGGGUGAAAAGCCCGCUCGCCGGAAGACCAAGGGUUCCUGUCCAACGUUAAUCGGGGCAGGGUGAGUCGACCCCUAAGGCGAGGCCGAAAGGCGUAGUCGAUGGGAAACGGGUUAAUAUUCCCGUACUUGGUGUUACUGCGAAGGGGGGACGGAGAAGGCUAUGUUGGCCGGGCGACGGUUGUCCCGGUUUAAGCGUGUAGGUGUGUGUUCCAGGUAAAUCCGGUUCACUUUAACACUGAGGCGUGACGACGAGGCACUACGGUGCUGAAGCAACAAAUGCCCUGCUUCCAGGAAAAGCCUCUAAGCAUCAGGUAACACGAAAUCGUACCCCAAACCGACACAGGUGGUCAGGUAGAGAAUACCAAGGCGCUUGAGAGAACUCGGGUGAAGGAACUAGGCAAAAUGGUGCCGUAACUUCGGGAGAAGGCACGCUGACACGUAGGUGAAGUGAUUUACUCAUGGAGCUGAAGUCAGUCGAAGAUACCAGCUGGCUGCAACUGUUUAUUAAAAACACAGCACUGUGCAAACACGAAAGUGGACGUAUACGGUGUGACGCCUGCCCGGUGCCGGAAGGUUAAUUGAUGGGGUCAGCGCAAGCGAAGCUCCUGAUCGAAGCCCCGGUAAACGGCGGCCGUAACUAUAACGGUCCUAAGGUAGCGAAAUUCCUUGUCGGGUAAGUUCCGACCUGCACGAAUGGCGUAAUGAUGGCCAGGCUGUCUCCACCCGAGACUCAGUGAAAUUGAACUCGCUGUGAAGAUGCAGUGUACCCGCGGCAAGACGGAAAGACCCCGUGAACCUUUACUAUAGCUUGACACUGAACAUUGAGCCUUGAUGUGUAGGAUAGGUGGGAGGCUUUGAAGUGUGGACGCCAGUCUGCAUGGAGCCGACCUUGAAAUACCACCCUUUAAUGUUUGAUGUUCUAACGUGGACCCGUGAUCCGGGUUGCGGACAGUGUCUGGUGGGUAGUUUGACUGGGGCGGUCUCCUCCUAAAGAGUAACGGAGGAGCACGAAGGUUGGCUAAUCCUGGUCGGACAUCAGGAGGUUAGUGCAAUGGCAUAAGCCAGCUUGACUGCGAGCGUGACGGCGCGAGCAGGUGCGAAAGCAGGUCAUAGUGAUCCGGUGGUUCUGAAUGGAAGGGCCAUCGCUCAACGGAUAAAAGGUACUCCGGGGAUAACAGGCUGAUACCGCCCAAGAGUUCAUAUCGACGGCGGUGUUUGGCACCUCGAUGUCGGCUCAUCACAUCCUGGGGCUGAAGUAGGUCCCAAGGGUAUGGCUGUUCGCCAUUUAAAGUGGUACGCGAGCUGGGUUUAGAACGUCGUGAGACAGUUCGGUCCCUAUCUGCCGUGGGCGCUGGAGAACUGAGGGGGGCUGCUCCUAGUACGAGAGGACCGGAGUGGACGCAUCACUGGUGUUCGGGUUGUCAUGCCAAUGGCACUGCCCGGUAGCUAAAUGCGGAAGAGAUAAGUGCUGAAAGCAUCUAAGCACGAAACUUGCCCCGA